CGUGUAGGCGGACUGGUAAGUCGGACGUGAAAUCCCUGGGCUCAACCCAGGAACUGCAUCCGAAACUAUCAGUCUGGAGUGGUGGAGAGGAAAGCAGAAUUCCUGGUGUAGAGGUGAAAUUCGUAGAUAUCAGGAGGAACACCGGUGGCGAAGGCGGCUUUCUGGACACUAACUGACGCUGAGACGCGAAAGCGUGGGGAGCAAACAGGAUUAGAUACCCUGGUAGUCCACGCCGUAAACGAUGAGUGCUGGGUGUCGCGGGUUUUGACCCCUGCGGUGCCGUAGCUAACGCGUUAAGCACUCCGCCUGGGGAGUACGGCCGCAAGGCUAAA
This 332-nucleotide ribosomal RNA is filed under the name uncultured Polyangium sp. RNAcentral's name for it is "bacterial SSU rRNA". It matches the Rfam family "Bacterial small subunit ribosomal RNA", at positions 568 to 898 of the family's 1533-position model. Lineage: Bacteria; Pseudomonadati; Myxococcota; Polyangiales; Polyangiaceae. The record is from RNAcentral.